AUUGAACGCUGGCGGCAUGCCUUACACAUGCAAGUCGAACGGUAACAGGUUAAGCUGACGAGUGGCGAACGGGUGAGUAAUGUAUCGGAACGUGCCCAGUCGUGGGGGAUAACUGCUCGAAAGAGCAGCUAAUACCACAUACGACCUGAGGGUGAAAGCGGGGGAUCGCAAGCCCUCGCGCGAUUGGAGCGGCCGAUAUCAGAUUAGGUAGUUGGUGAGGUAAAGGCUCACCAAGCCGACGAUCUGUAGCUGGUCUGAGAGGACGACCAGCCACACUGGGACUGAGACACGGCCCAGACUCCUACGGGAGGCAGCAGUGGGGAAUUUUGGACAAUGGGCGCAAGCCUGAUCCAGCCAUGCCGCGUGCGGGAAGAAGGCCUUCGGGUUGUAAACCGCUUUUGUCAGGGAAGAAAAGGUUCUGGCUAAUACCUGGGACUCAUGACGGUACCUGAAGAAUAAGCACCGGCUAACUACGUG
This 477-nucleotide ribosomal RNA is filed under the name uncultured bacterium. RNAcentral describes it as "partial 16S ribosomal RNA". It matches the Rfam family "Bacterial small subunit ribosomal RNA", at positions 30 to 507 of the family's 1533-position model. The record is from RNAcentral.